This 414-nucleotide ribosomal RNA is filed under the name uncultured bacterium. Its description in RNAcentral is "bacterial SSU rRNA". It matches the Rfam family "Bacterial small subunit ribosomal RNA", at positions 97 to 507 of the family's 1533-position model. The record is from RNAcentral.
GGCGAACGGGUGAGUAAUGCAUCGGAACGUAUCCUGUAAUGGGGGAUAACGUAGCGAAAGUUACGCUAAUACCGCAUACGCUCGAGAGAGGAAAGUGGGGGAUCGCAAGACCUCACGUUAUAGGAGCGGCCGAUGUCCGAUUAGCUAGUUGGUGGGUAAAGGCCUACCAAGGCGACGAUCGGUAGCUGGUCUGAGAGGAUGAUCAGCCACACUGGGACUGAGACACGGCCCAGACUCCUACGGGAGGCAGCAGUGGGGAAUUUUGGACAAUGGGCGAAAGCCUGAUCCAGCCAUGCCGCGUGCGGGAAGAAGGCCUUCGGGUUGUAAACCGCUUUAGUCCGGGAAAAAGGGGUGCGAGGAUAAUACCCUUGUGCUUUGAUUGUACUGGAAGAAUAAGCACCGGCUAACUACGUG